AGUCAGAGGAGCGCAUUUUCAGGAGUAUGGCAAGGUUAGGCGGCGGCCGCCAGAGAGCUUUGCCGGAAAGGGGAAACGCGCCGAAAGCGGAGUUCCCGCCGAAGGAACCGCCGCUUGGGUAUACGGUGAAUAACCGUAUAACUGUCGCCUGUCAUGGGGAUGAUAGGCGGAGUGCUGCUGGU
RNAcentral lists this non-coding RNA (182 nucleotides) under human gut metagenome. RNAcentral describes it as "Lysine riboswitch". It matches the Rfam family "Lysine riboswitch aptamer". Rfam says of the family: Riboswitches are metabolite binding domains within certain messenger RNAs that serve as precision sensors for their corresponding targets. Allosteric rearrangement of mRNA structure is mediated by ligand binding, and this results in modulation of gene expression. This family includes riboswitches that sense lysine in a number of genes involved in lysine metabolism, including lysC. The record is from RNAcentral.